Molecule: transfer RNA, 66 nt
Filed under: Strahlaxius plectrorhynchus
Lineage: Eukaryota; Metazoa; Arthropoda; Malacostraca; Decapoda; Strahlaxiidae
Description: tRNA-Asn
Source: RNAcentral
UUGAAUGAAGCUAAAGAUAGAAGCAGGUCAUUGUUAAUGACAAAAAUGAAUAUAUUUCCUUUCAAA